RNAcentral lists this ribosomal RNA (211 nucleotides) under Ochromonas sp. CCMP1393. RNAcentral's name for it is "partial Bacterial small subunit ribosomal RNA". It matches the Rfam family "Bacterial small subunit ribosomal RNA", at positions 1 to 211 of the family's 1533-position model. The record is from RNAcentral. Lineage: Eukaryota; Chrysophyceae; Chromulinales; Chromulinaceae.
ACGGAGAGUUUGAUCCUGGCUCAGGAUGAACGCUGGCGGCGUGCUUAACACAUGCAAGUCGAACGGAAAGGCCCUGCUUUUGUGGGGUGCUCGAGUGGCGAACGGGUGAGUAACACGUGAGUAACCUGCCCCUGACUCUGGGAUAAGCCUGGGAAACUGGGUCUAAUACCGGAUAGGACCUCUCAACGCAUGUUGGGUGGUGGAAAGUUUU